Neogale vison (American mink) is the source of this 244-nucleotide long non-coding RNA. RefSeq lists it as uncharacterized. The record is from RefSeq and is a predicted model, not a curated record. The transcript has 3 exons. Lineage: Eukaryota; Metazoa; Chordata; Mammalia; Carnivora; Mustelidae.
CAGCCUCAUAGAAUGAGUUGGGAAGGAAGUAUUCCUUUCUAUUCAGUUUCUUUAGAAGAGCUUUUCUAGAAUGAAUGAAAAUCUCAUUCAUUGGAAUGAAAAUUGGCACGCACCCACAAAGAAUUCAGAGAAGAGUCAAGUUGCCUUUGAAGAUAGGAGCACAAUGCUGGUGAUGAAGAGGAGACCUGAGCUAAGUACAGAAAAUAGACACUCUAAAUAAAUCCAGAUUGUUCCAGACUGCAUC